UCUUAAGGUCACACACCCUGGAACGCCCGAUCCGUCUGAUCUUGGAAGGUAAGCAGUGGUGCCUGGUAGUACUUGAUGGGAGACCACCUGGGAAUACCAGCGUGCUGUAGCUU
Astyanax mexicanus (Mexican tetra) is the source of this 113-nucleotide ribosomal RNA. The record is from Ensembl. Lineage: Eukaryota; Metazoa; Chordata; Actinopteri; Characiformes; Acestrorhamphidae.